UACGGAGGGUGCGAGCGUUGUUCGGAAUCACUGGGCUUAAAGGGCGCGUAGGCGGGCUGUCAAGUCUGGGGUGAAAUGCCGCGGCUCAACCGUGGAACUGCCUUAGAUACUGACGGCCUCGAGGGAGGUAGGGGCGUGCGGAACUGUAGGUGGAGCGGUGAAAUGCGUUGAUAUCUACAGGAACUCCGGUGGCGAAAGCGGCGCGCUGGACCUCUUCUGACGCUGAGGCGCGAAAGCUAGGGGAGCAACAGGGG
This 254-nucleotide ribosomal RNA is filed under the name uncultured bacterium. Its description in RNAcentral is "partial 16S ribosomal RNA". It matches the Rfam family "Bacterial small subunit ribosomal RNA", at positions 524 to 777 of the family's 1533-position model. The record is from RNAcentral.